GCCCCAGUAAACGGCGGCCGUAACUAUAACGGUCCUAAGGUAGCGAAAUUCCUUGUCGGGUAAGUUCCGACCUGCACGAAUGGCGUAAUGAUGGCCAGGCUGUCUCCACCCGAGACUCAGUGAAAUUGAACUCGCUGUGAAGAUGCAGUGUACCCGCGGCAAGACGGAAAGACCCCGUGAACCUUUACUAUAGCUUGACACUGAACAUUGAGCCUUGAUGUGUAGGAUAGGUGGGAGGCUUUGAAGUGUGGACGCCAGUCUGCAUGGAGCCAACCUUGAAAUACCACCCUUUAACGUUUGAUGUUCUAACCUAGGCCCAUAAACUGGGUCGGGGACCGUGUCUGGUGGGUAGUUUGACUGGGGCGGUCUCCUCCUAAAGAGUAACGGAGGAGCACGAAGGUUGGCUAAGCAUGGUCGGACAUCAUGCGGUUAGUGCAAAGGCAUAAGCCAGCUUGACUGCGAGAGUGACGGCUCGAGCAGGUACGAAAGUAGGUCUUAGUGAUCCGGUGGUUCUGAAUGGAAGGGCCAUCGCUCAACGGAUAAAAGGUACUCCGGGGAUAACAGGCUGAUACCGCCCAAGAGUUCAUAUCGACGGCGGUGUUUGGCACCUCGAUGUCGGCUCAUCACAUCCUGGGGCUGAAGUAGGUCCCAAGGGUAUGGCUGUUCGCCAUUUAAAGUGGUACGCGAGCUGGGUUUAGAACGUCGUGAGACAGUUCGGUCCCUAUCUGCCGUGGGCGUUGGAAGAUUGAGAGGGGUUGCUCCUAGUACGAGAGGACCGGAGUGAACGCACCACUGGUGUUCGGGUUGUCAUGCCAAUGGCAUUGCCCGGUAGCUAAGUGCGGAAGAGAUAACCGCUGAAAGCAUCUAAGCGGGAAACUUGCCUCGAGAUGAGUCUUCCCUGUCGCUUUAAGCGACCUAAAGGAACGUUUAAGACUAAGACGUUGAUAGGCUGGGUGUGUAAGCGUAGCGAUACGUUGAGCUAACCAGUACUAAUGAACCGUGAGGCUUAACCUG
Molecule: ribosomal RNA, 1014 nt
Filed under: Proteus mirabilis
Lineage: Bacteria; Pseudomonadati; Pseudomonadota; Gammaproteobacteria; Enterobacterales; Morganellaceae
Description: partial 23S ribosomal RNA
Rfam family: Bacterial large subunit ribosomal RNA
Source: RNAcentral